This 1502-nucleotide ribosomal RNA is filed under the name Serratia marcescens. RNAcentral's name for it is "partial 23S ribosomal RNA". It matches the Rfam family "Bacterial large subunit ribosomal RNA", at positions 1448 to 2925 of the family's 2925-position model. Lineage: Bacteria; Pseudomonadati; Pseudomonadota; Gammaproteobacteria; Enterobacterales; Yersiniaceae. The record is from RNAcentral.
GUGUUACUGCGAAGGGGGGACGGAGAAGGCUAGGCUAGCCGGGCGACGGUUGUCCCGGUUUAAGCGUGUAGGGGGUGUGACCUGGUAAAUCCGGUUGCAUACUAACCCUGAGGCGUGAUGACGAUGCACUACGGUGCAGAAGUAGUUGAUGCCCUGCUUCCAGGAAAAUCCUCUAAGCUCCAGGUAACAUUAAAUCGUACCCCAAACCGACACAGGUGGUCAGGUAGAGAAUACCAAGGCGCUUGAGAGAACUCGGGUGAAGGAACUAGGCAAAAUGGUGCCGUAACUUCGGGAGAAGGCACGCUGGCAUGUAGGUGAAGUCCCUUGCGGAUGGAGCUGAAGCCAGUCGAAGAUACCAGCUGGCUGCAACUGUUUAAUAAAAACACAGCACUGUGCAAACACGAAAGUGGACGUAUACGGUGUGACGCCUGCCCGGUGCUGGAAGGUUAAUUGAUGGGGUCAGCCGCAAGGCGAAGCUCUUGAUCGAAGCCCCAGUAAACGGCGGCCGUAACUAUAACGGUCCUAAGGUAGCGAAAUUCCUUGUCGGGUAAGUUCCGACCUGCACGAAUGGCGUAAUGAUGGCCAGGCUGUCUCCACCCGAGACUCAGUGAAAUUGAACUCGCUGUGAAGAUGCAGUGUACCCGCGGCAAGACGGAAAGACCCCGUGAACCUUUACUAUAGCUUGACACUGAACAUUGAGCCUUGAUGUGUAGGAUAGGUGGGAGGCUUUGAAGCGUGGACGCCAGUCUGCGUGGAGCCAUCCUUGAAAUACCACCCUUUAAUGUUUGAUGUUCUAACUCGGCCCCAUAAUCUGGGGUGAGGACAGUGUCUGGUGGGUAGUUUGACUGGGGCGGUCUCCUCCCAAAGAGUAACGGAGGAGCACGAAGGUUAGCUAAUCACGGUCGGACAUCGUGAGGUUAGUGCAAAGGCAUAAGCUAGCUUGACUGCGAGAGUGACGGCUCGAGCAGGUACGAAAGUAGGUCUUAGUGAUCCGGUGGUUCUGAAUGGAAGGGCCAUCGCUCAACGGAUAAAAGGUACUCCGGGGAUAACAGGCUGAUACCGCCCAAGAGUUCAUAUCGACGGCGGUGUUUGGCACCUCGAUGUCGGCUCAUCACAUCCUGGGGCUGAAGUAGGUCCCAAGGGUAUGGCUGUUCGCCAUUUAAAGUGGUACGCGAGCUGGGUUUAGAACGUCGUGAGACAGUUCGGUCCCUAUCUGCCGUGGGCGUUGGAAGAUUGAGAGGGGUUGCUCCUAGUACGAGAGGACCGGAGUGAACGCACCACUGGUGUUCGGGUUGUCAUGCCAAUGGCAUUGCCCGGUAGCUAAGUGCGGAAAAGAUAAGCGCUGAAAGCAUCUAAGCGCGAAACUUGCCUCAAGAUGAGUCUUCCCUGGGCCUUUAAGGCCCCUAAAGGAACGUUUAAGACUAAGACGUUGAUAGGCUGGGUGUGUAAGUGCAGCGAUGCAUUGAGCUAACCAGUACUAAUGAUCCGUGAGGCUUAACCUU